Long non-coding RNA from Vidua chalybeata, 282 nucleotides. RefSeq lists it as uncharacterized. The record is from RefSeq and is a predicted model, not a curated record. NCBI's taxonomy places the organism in Eukaryota, Metazoa, Chordata, Aves, Passeriformes, Viduidae. The transcript has 3 exons.
ACACAAUCAAAGAGCCAGCUCUGCAUCUGGGUUUCUGCUGUCUUUUUCUCUUAUCUUCAGACAAGUUCUCUACACCACAUUGAGCUGUAUCCUGAUACCACUCCAGAGACUGAGCUCUGUGCACAUACAACAGCCUGCAUCUGAAAGAACCAGGAUGUAUUGGAAAACUGCAAGACAAAAACAUACAGCAACAAAACGGUUCCAGAGGUAGAAGAUAGAGACAGAUGGAGCCUGAAGCAGAGCCAAAGGAGUGAGUCUUGUGGCAACAAUACAGGAAGAGAC